This is a long non-coding RNA of Anthonomus grandis grandis, 1085 nucleotides long. RefSeq lists it as uncharacterized. The record is from RefSeq and is a predicted model, not a curated record. NCBI's taxonomy places the organism in Eukaryota, Metazoa, Arthropoda, Insecta, Coleoptera, Curculionidae. The transcript has 4 exons.
AUGUAACGCAAACGUCAUUUAAUUAAGGUAAAAAAGACGCUAAUUAUUACACUAAAUUAGCUUUUAAGAUGUAUGUACUGGUGAGCGCAAUACCUGUGAUACCGACCACUAAAAAUUCAAGUUUUUGUAUUAAAAAAUACCACUUUAAUUAAAUAAAAUAGUGGAGCUUUUGGGUGCGUGUCUAAAUAGUAAUUGCAUAGACAACAUUUUUAUUAAUUUUUCGAUAGAAGACUGCAAAGUGUGUCAUUGACAUUAAACUCUUGGAUCACUUGGCUCAACAAAUUGAUAUACCAGGUAUCAAAAUAGGUCACCAUCAAAAUAGAAGUUUCCAGCCCAUAACACAUUUUGCCGAGGUAAAAAUACGAAUUAAAACAAUUCGAACAACAUACUCUGUCGAAGUAAGGAAAAAUUAACUCAUCUAUGAAGAGUGGAGCAUCAACUGACGACCUAUAUACACCUACUUGUGGAUGGUUCAAAAUUGCUGAUGGUUUUCUACGAAAUACAGUUGUUUUACGUGAAACGCAUGAUAAUUUGAAGAUUUACCCAGUACGUCGGAACAUUCACCAGCUAGGACAACCCAAGCCAAUUCUGAAAUAAUUGAGGUUAUCCCGAGGGUUACCCAAACACCUAAGCGUAAAAAAAUAAUUCAGAAAAGUGAUCCUGCUACUACAGCUGUAGAAAAAUUAGAAAAUAUAUGCAAAACUAGUGCAGACGCAUUACAGGAGGAUGAAUUUGAAAUUUAUGGAAUAUACAUAGCCUCGCAGCUACGAUCGAUGGACCUAGAAAGAGCUAUUGAUGUUCAAAAUCAGAUUAACAACAUUUUAUCAAAGUCAAGAAUAGAAGACAUCAAAUGCAAAAAGAGUCUCCACAACACUUUUUCAAUUCCUUAUCCGGAAGAGAGUUUAGUAGAUAUAAAUUCACCACCACCAAGUAACCAGACUGAAGUUGAGGUAUAUUCAGAAGAGGAUAGUGAUAUAACGUUUAUUGAAAAACCUAGGCAUUCUAGUGACAUUUUGUCACAAGCUGUGAUUUCUAUUUUCCGAUAUACUGAUUUGUAAAAUGUGUCAAUAAAGUUAUGAAAUGGA